CUUCGCCCCGUCCCGUCCGCGCAGCGCGUCCGGCCCGCCCGCAGGCCAGCUUCUCUCGGGAGCCCCCACCCAGGCGCAUGGCUCCAUGAAGCAAGAGGAGGAGGCAGAGCGCGAGAGGUCCCGUCCGCCCCAGCCGCGUCUGGGCCAGGAUAAAAGCAAAACCAUAUUCCUGCUGCUGUCAGUUAUGAUGCACUGAGAAAACUUCAGAGACCUAAACUUUUUCCAGAGAAGAGAAGCUUUACUGGUGUUCCAGCCCUAAGAAACCUUUGUUCAAGAAAACGGCAGAUGCUCUGUUGAAUCCACUGGAGAUUGUUCUGAUACUAAGGACAAGUAUGCUCAUAUGACAUUAACAGACAAGACACUUUUCAGAAAGACAG
This 377-nucleotide long non-coding RNA is filed under the name Homo sapiens (human). RNAcentral's name for it is "non-protein coding NUTM2B-AS1:46". Lineage: Eukaryota; Metazoa; Chordata; Mammalia; Primates; Hominidae. The record is from RNAcentral.